AGAGUUUGAUCCUGGCUCAGAACGAACGCUGGCGGCAUGGAUUAGGCAUGCAAGUCGAACGGUGUAGCAAUACACAGUGGCGGAAGGGUGAGGAACACGUGAAUAAUCUGCCCUCAAGUUGGGAAUAACUUUCCGAAAGGAAAGCUAAUACCGAAUGUGGUUGUUUUAUCGCAUGAUAGGACAACUAAAGAUUUAUCGCUUGAGGAUGAGUUCGCGUCCCAUUAGCUAGUUGGCGGGGUAACGGCCCACCAAGGCAGAGAUGGGUAGCUGGUCUGAGAGGAUGAUCAGCCACACUGGGACUGAGACACUGCCCAGACUCCUACGGGAGGCUGCAGUCGAGAAUCUUUUGCAAUGCGCGAAAGCGUGACAAAGCAAUGCCGCGUGCCGGAUGAAGGUCUUCGGAUUGUAAACGGCUGUCACUCGGGACGAAAAAUGACGGUACCGAGGGAGGAAGCCACGGCUAACUACGUGCCAGCAGCCGCGGUAAUACGUAGGUGGCGAGCGUUGUUCGGAUUUAUUGGGCGUAAAGGGUUCGUAGGUGGUUUGCUAAGUCUGACGUGAAAUCCCGUGGCUCAACCACGGAACUGCGUUGGAGACUGGUGAACUUGAGUAUUGGAGAGGUAAGCGGAAUACCAGGUGUAGCGGUGGAAUGCGUAGAUAUCUGGUAGAACACCGAUAGCGAAGGCAGCUUACUGGACAAUAACUGACACUGAGGAACGAAAGCGUGGGGAGCAAACAGGAUUAGAUACCCUGGUAGUCCACGCCGUAAACGUUGUCAACUUGAUGUGGGAGGAUUUAGUCCCUUCCGUAUCGAAGCUAACGCGAUAAGUUGACCGCCUGGGGACUACGGCCGCAAGGCUAAAACUCAAAGGAAUUGACGGGGACCCGCACAAGCGGUGGAGCAUGUGGCUUAAUUCGAGGCAACGCGAAGAACCUUACCUGGGCUUGAAAUCAUACGGACAGUCUAUGAAAGUAGAUUUUCCUUCGGGACUGUAUGACAGGUGCUGCAUGGCUGUCGUCAGCUCGUGCCGUGAGGUGUUCGGUUAAGUCCGGCAACGAGCGCAACCCGUAUCAUUAGUUACCAUCAGGUAAUGCUGGGGACUCUAAUGAGACUGCCUGUGUUAAGCAGGAGGAAGGCGCGGAUGACGUCAAGUCAGUAUGGCCCUUACGUCCAGGGCUGCACACGUGCUACAAUGGCCGGUACAAUGAGAAGCGAAACCGCGAGGUGGAGCAAAUCUACAAAACCGGUCUUAGUUCGGAUUGUAGUCUGCAACUCGACUACAUGAAGCCGGAAUCGCUAGUAAAGGCGUAUCAGCUACGACGCCCUGAAUACGUUCCCGGGUCUUGUACACACCGCCCGUCACAUCAUGGGAGCUGAUUGCACCCGAAGUCGAUGCCCCAACCCAGCAAUGGGAGGGAGUCGCCUAAGGUGUGGUUAGUGACUGGGAUGAAGUCGUAACAAGGUAACC
This 1469-nucleotide ribosomal RNA is filed under the name uncultured bacterium. RNAcentral's name for it is "bacterial SSU rRNA". It matches the Rfam family "Bacterial small subunit ribosomal RNA". The record is from RNAcentral.